UUUCUUACCGGCUCUUCUCAGUAGAAUCUGUAUUCCGAACUGGUAGUAGAGUCACAGACGUAGCAUAAGAGACACUUGUUG
This is a long non-coding RNA of Maniola jurtina (meadow brown), 81 nucleotides long. RefSeq lists it as uncharacterized. NCBI's taxonomy places the organism in Eukaryota, Metazoa, Arthropoda, Insecta, Lepidoptera, Nymphalidae. The record is from RefSeq and is a predicted model, not a curated record. The transcript is spliced from 4 exons.